RNAcentral lists this ribosomal RNA (429 nucleotides) under Bacteroidota bacterium. RNAcentral's name for it is "Bacteroidetes bacterium partial 16S ribosomal RNA". It matches the Rfam family "Bacterial small subunit ribosomal RNA", at positions 355 to 776 of the family's 1533-position model. Lineage: Bacteria; Pseudomonadati; Bacteroidota. The record is from RNAcentral.
UAGGGAAUCUUCCGCAAUGGGCGCAAGUCUGACGGAGCAACGCCGCGUGAGUGAAGAAGGAUUUCGGUUCGUAAAACUCUGUUGUUAGAGAAGAACAGCGCAUAGAGUAACUGUUAUGCGUGUGACGGUAUCUAACCAGAAAGCCACGGCUAACUACGUGCCAGCAGCCGCGGUAAUACGUAGGUGGCAAGCGUUGUCCGGAUUUAUUGGGCGUAAAGCGAGCGCAGGCGGUCAAUUAAGUCUGAUGUGAAAGCCCCCGGCUCAACCGGGGAGGGUCAUUGGAAACUGGUUGACUUGAGUGCAGAAGAGGAGAGUGGAAUUCCAUGUGUAGCGGUGAAAUGCGUAGAUAUAUGGAGGAACACCGGUGGCGAAAGCGGCUCUCUGGUCUGUAACUGACGCUGAGGCUCGAAAGCGUGGGGAGCGAACAGG